AAUUAAGCAUAUCAAUAAGCGGAGGAAAAGAAACCAACAGGGAUUGCCCUAGUAACGGCGAGUGAAGCGGCAACAGCUCAAAUUUGAAAUCUGGCUCUUUUAGAGUCCGAGUUGUAAUUUGCAGAGGGCGCUUUGGCUUUGGCAGCGGUCCAAGUUCCUUGGAACAGGACGUCACAGAGGGUGAGAAUCCCGUACGUGGUCGCUGGCUAUUGCCGUGUAAAGCCCCUUCGACGAGUCGAGUUGUUUGGGAAUGCAGCUCUAAAUGGGAGGUACAUUUCUUCUAAAGCUAAAUAUUGGCCAGAGACCGAUAGCGCACAAGUAGAGUGAUCGAAAGAUGAAAAGCACUUUGGAAAGAGAGUCAAACAGCACGUGAAAUUGUUGAAAGGGAAGCGCUUGCAGCCAGACUUGCUUGCAGUUGCUCAUCCGGGCUUUUGCCCGGUGCACUCUUCUGCAGGCAGGCCAGCAUCAGUUUGGGCGGUAGGAUAAAGGUCUCUGUCACGUACCUCUCUUCGGGGAGGCCUUAUAGGGGAGACGACAUACUACCAGCCUGGACUGAGGUCCGCGCAUCUGCUAGGAUGCUGGCGUAAUGGCUGUAAGCGGCCCGUCUUGAAACACGGACCAAGGAGUCUAACAUCUAUGCGAGUGUUUGGGUGUCAAGCCCGAGCGCGUAAUGAAAGUGAACGGAGGUAGGAACCCGCAAGGGUGCACUAUCGACCGAUCCUGAUGUCUUCGGAAGGAUUUGAGUAAGAGCAUGGCUGUUGGGACCCGAAAGAUGGUGAACUAUGCUUGAAUAGGGUGAAGCCAGAGGAAACUCUGGUGGAGGCUCGCAGCGGUUCUGACGUGCAAAUCGAUCGUCAAAUUUGGGCAUAGGGGCGAAAGACUAAUCGAACUAUCUAGUAGCUGGUUCCUGCCAAU
Molecule: ribosomal RNA, 915 nt
Filed under: Alternaria malorum
Lineage: Eukaryota; Fungi; Ascomycota; Dothideomycetes; Pleosporales; Pleosporaceae
Description: LSU rRNA
Rfam family: Eukaryotic large subunit ribosomal RNA
Source: RNAcentral